This is a non-coding RNA of Maylandia zebra (zebra mbuna), 72 nucleotides long. NCBI's taxonomy places the organism in Eukaryota, Metazoa, Chordata, Actinopteri, Cichliformes, Cichlidae. The record is from the annotation of a RefSeq genome assembly.
GGGGAUGUAGCUCAGUGGUAGAGCGCCUUCUUUGCAUGUAUGAGGUCCUGGGUUCGGUCCCCAGCGUCUCCA